Molecule: ribosomal RNA, 253 nt
Filed under: uncultured bacterium
Lineage: Bacteria
Description: partial 16S ribosomal RNA
Rfam family: Bacterial small subunit ribosomal RNA
Source: RNAcentral
UACGUAGGGUGCGAGCGUUAAUCGGAAUUACUGGGCGUAAAGCGUGCGCAGGCGGAUUGUUAAGCAAGAUGUGAAAUCCCCGGGCUUAACCUGGGAAUGGCAUUUUGAACUGGCAGUCUAGAGUGUGUCAGAGGGGGGUGGAAUUCCACGUGUAGCAGUGAAAUGCGUAGAUAUGUGGAGGAAUACCGAUGGCGAAGGCAGCCCCCUGGGUCGACACUGACGCUCAUGCACGAAAGCGUGGGGAGCAAACAGG